RNAcentral lists this ribosomal RNA (482 nucleotides) under uncultured bacterium. Its description in RNAcentral is "partial 16S ribosomal RNA". It matches the Rfam family "Bacterial small subunit ribosomal RNA", at positions 28 to 506 of the family's 1533-position model. The record is from RNAcentral.
GAUGAACGCUGGCGGCGUGCCUAACACAUGCAAGUCGAACGGAGACGUUUUGGAAAUCUCUUCGGAGAUGGAGUUCUCGACUUAGGGGCGGCCGGGUGAGUAACGCGUGAGCAAUCUGCCAUUAAGAGGGGGAUAACAGUCGGAAACGGCUGCUAAUACCGCAUAAAGCAUUAAAUUCGCAUGUUUUUGCUGCCAAAGGAGCAAUCCGCUUUUAGAUGAGCUCGCGUCUGAUUAGCUCGUUGGCGGGGUAACGGCCCACCAAGGCGACGGUCAGUAGCCGGGCUGGGAGGUUGAGCGGCCACAGUGCGACUGUGACACGCACCAGACUCCUGCGGGCGGCAGCAGUGGGUAAUAUUGCGCAAUGGGGGAAACCCUGACGCAGCAACGCCGCGGGAUUGAAGAAGGCCUUCGGGUUGUAAAGAUCUUUAAUCAGGGACGAAACAAAUGCCGGUACCUGAAGAAUAAGCCCCGGCUACCUCCGU